This 406-nucleotide ribosomal RNA is filed under the name uncultured bacterium. Its description in RNAcentral is "partial 16S ribosomal RNA". It matches the Rfam family "Bacterial small subunit ribosomal RNA", at positions 29 to 526 of the family's 1533-position model. The record is from RNAcentral.
AUUGAACGCUGGCGGCAGGCCUAACACAUGCAAGUCGAACGAGAGGCGGACGGGUGAGAAAUGUAUGGGAAACUGCGCGAUGGAGGGGUACAACUAAGGGAAACGGUAACUACUAACGCAUACAGCGGGAGAUACCGGGAUGGGAUUAGGUAGUAGGUGGGGUAAAGGCUCACCAAGGCGACGAUCCCUAGCUGGUCUGAGAGGAUGACCAGCCACACUGGAACUGAGACACGGCCCAGACUCCUACGGGAGGCAGCAGUGGGGAAUAUUGGACAAUGGGGGCAACCCUGAUGCAGCCAUCCCGCGUGUGUGAUGAAGGCCUUCGGGUUGUAAAGUACUUUUGGCGGGGAGGCGUUACCCGCAGAAUAAGCACCGGCUAACUCCGUGCCAGCAGCCGCGGUAAUAC